Non-coding RNA from Pelobates cultripes (western spadefoot toad), 601 nucleotides. Lineage: Eukaryota; Metazoa; Chordata; Amphibia; Anura; Pelobatidae. The record is from the annotation of a GenBank genome assembly.
GGCAGCUAUCCUCGCAAGGACCUCACUCUCACAUGGCCUGGGGGGCUUCCAGGGGGUCGGACGUGCCGCGGACCGGAGUAAGUUUAGAAAGACCGGAGGGUGUACUAUUACGCCCGGCGGCGUUUAGAGCCGCCUAAAAUAGGGCGUAAUAGUACGCCCUCCGGUCUUAAGGGGUUAAGACCACGGAAAAACAACAACUUGUCACAUGAUAAAAAGUCCUUUUGUAAACCAGUUACAUGCCUUGUAUAUCUCUGCACAUGAGCAGAGAAUUGCAGGUGCAUAUCUCAUCUGGUUGUAUAUAUAUUUACCAUAGUUCCAGAUAUGUUUUGAAAGCUCCAAACACUUUAAAAAAAAUAAAAUUAUAUUAAAGUAAUCAAAAUGAUCAGUGUUAGUUUAGAUUAUGGCCCAUCCUUUGGGGUUAACUUCCUUUUAUUAAGUGUUCUUGCAUAGCAAGACCACUUAUUGUUAUCUCACAUAUAUAUUCUUAUUUAAGUGUUCUUGCAUAGCAAGACCACUUAAUGUUAUCUCACAUAUAUAUUAUUAAGUGUUCUUGCAUAGCAAGACCACUUAAUGUUAUCUCACAUAUAUAUUUAAGUGUUCU